GGCGAGAUGGCCGAGCGGUCCAAGGCGCUCGUUUUACGCACCAGUCCUUUCCGGAGCGCAGGUUCGCAUCCCCCUCUGGUCA
RNAcentral lists this transfer RNA (82 nucleotides) under Angiostrongylus costaricensis. It matches the Rfam family "tRNA". Rfam says of the family: Transfer RNA (tRNA) molecules are approximately 80 nucleotides in length. Their secondary structure includes four short double-helical elements and three loops (D, anti-codon, and T loops). Lineage: Eukaryota; Metazoa; Nematoda; Chromadorea; Rhabditida; Metastrongylidae. The record is from Rfam by way of RNAcentral.